UCCGUAGGUGAACCUGCGGAGGGAUCAUUACAGAGUUGCAAAACUCCCAACCAUUGUGAACGAACCGCUAAGCUCCAGCGGGCGGCGCACUGCGCCGCUUGCUGGUAGCCUGCAAACUCUUGAUUAUAGUGUAUCUCUGAGUAGCUUAUUAAAUAAGUCAAAACUUUCAACAACGGAUCUCUUGGUUCUGGCAUCGAUGAAGAACGCAGCGAAAUGCGAUAAGUAAUGUGAAUUGCAGAAUUCAGUGAAUCAUCGAAUCUUUGAACGCACAUUGCGCCCGCUAGUAUUCUGGCGGGCAUGCCUGUUCGAGCGUCAUUUCAACCAUCAAGCCCCAGGCUUGUGUUGGGGUCCUGCGGUCUCCGCAGCCCUCUAAAAGCAGUGGCGGGCUCGCUGUUAUACCGAGCGCAGUAGCAUUUCUUCGCUCUGGGGUGACAGCUUGUACUAGCCGUAAAAUAACUACUAAGGUUGACCUCGGAUCAGGUAGGAAUACCCGCUGAACUUAA
RNAcentral lists this ribosomal RNA (503 nucleotides) under uncultured fungus. RNAcentral's name for it is "eukaryotic LSU rRNA". The stretch from base 162 to 315 matches the Rfam family "5.8S ribosomal RNA". The record is from RNAcentral. Lineage: Eukaryota; Fungi.